AACGCGAAGAACCUUACCCAGGUUUGAAAUCCUGCGAAUUUCUCCGAAAGGAGAGAGUGCUUUAUUGAGCGCAGUGACAGGUGUUGCAUGGCCGUCGUCAGCUCGUGUCGUGAGAUGUUUGGUUAAGUCCAUCAACGAGCGCAACCCUUAUGUUUAGUUGAAUUUCUCUAAACAGACUGCCCUGGUAACAGGGAGGAAGGAGGGGAUGAUGUCAGGUCAGUAUUACCCUUACAUCUGGGGCUACAGACACGCUACAAUGGCCGGUACAAAGGGCAGCCAAGUCGCGAGACGGAGCAAAUCCCAUCAAAGCCGGUCUCAGUUCGGAUAGUAGGCUGAAACUCGCCUGCUUGAAGCUGGAAUCGCUAGUAACGGUAAGUCAGCACAUUACCGUGAAUACGUUCCCGGGCCUUGUACACACCGAC
This 422-nucleotide ribosomal RNA is filed under the name uncultured bacterium. Its description in RNAcentral is "bacterial SSU rRNA". It matches the Rfam family "Bacterial small subunit ribosomal RNA", at positions 958 to 1394 of the family's 1533-position model. The record is from RNAcentral.